This 73-nucleotide transfer RNA is filed under the name Actinoplanes siamensis. Its description in RNAcentral is "tRNA-Asn". Lineage: Bacteria; Bacillati; Actinomycetota; Actinomycetes; Micromonosporales; Micromonosporaceae. The record is from RNAcentral.
UCCCUCGUCGCCUCGGCAGGGCAGCGCACUGUUGAUACGUACCGGUGUCAGUUCGAAUCUGACCGAGGGAGCC